Molecule: ribosomal RNA, 413 nt
Filed under: uncultured bacterium
Lineage: Bacteria
Description: bacterial SSU rRNA
Rfam family: Bacterial small subunit ribosomal RNA
Source: RNAcentral
GACGAACGCUGGCGGCGCGCCUAACACAUGCAAGUCGAACGAGAGAGAAGGAGCUUGCUUCUUCGAUCGAGUGGCGAACGGGUGAGUAACGCGUGAGGAACCUGCCUCAAAGAGGGGGACAACAGUUGGAAACGACUGCUAAUACCGCAUAAGCCCACGGGUCGACAUCGACCAGAGGGAAAAGGAGCAAUCCGCUUUGAGAUGGCCUCGCGUCCGAUUAGCUAGUUGGUGAGGUAACGGCCCACCAAGGCGACGAUCGGUAGCCGGACUGAGAGGUUGAACGGCCACAUUGGGACUGAGACACGGCCCAGACUCCUACGGGAGGCAGCAGUGGGGAAUAUUGCACAAUGGGGGAAACCCUGAUGCAGCGACGCCGCGUGGAGGAAGAAGGUCUUCGGAUUGUAAACUCCUGU